This 76-nucleotide ribosomal RNA is filed under the name uncultured Glomus. RNAcentral's name for it is "partial 18S ribosomal RNA". It matches the Rfam family "Eukaryotic small subunit ribosomal RNA", at positions 1757 to 1831 of the family's 1831-position model. The record is from RNAcentral. Lineage: Eukaryota; Fungi; Glomeromycota; Glomeromycetes; Glomerales; Glomeraceae.
CAACCUUUGGUCACUUUAGAAGGAAGUAAAAGUCGUAACAAGGUUUCCCGUAGGUGAACUUGCGGAAGGAUCAUUA